RNAcentral lists this ribosomal RNA (403 nucleotides) under uncultured bacterium. Its description in RNAcentral is "bacterial SSU rRNA". It matches the Rfam family "Bacterial small subunit ribosomal RNA", at positions 355 to 775 of the family's 1533-position model. The record is from RNAcentral.
UGGGGAAUAUUGGGCAAUGGGUGAAAGCCUGACCCAGCAACGCCGCGUGAAGGAAGAAGGUUUUCGGAUCGUAAACUUCUAUCCUUGGUGAAGAUAAUGACGGUAGCCAAGAAGGAAGCCCCGGCUAACUACGUGCCAGCAGCCGCGGUAAUACGUAGGGGGCAAGCGUUGUCCGGAAUGAUUGGGCGUAAAGGGCGCGUAGGCGGCCUGGUAAGUCUGGAGUGAAAGUCCUGCUUUUAAGGUGGGAAUUGCUUUGGAUACUGUCGGGCUUGAGUGCAGGAGAGGUAAGUGGAAUCCCCGGUGUAGCGGUGAAAUGCGUAGAGAUCGGGAGGAACACCAGUGGCGAAGGCGACUUACUGGACUGUAACUGACGCUGAGGCGCGAAAGUGUGGGGAGCAAACAG